RNAcentral lists this ribosomal RNA (412 nucleotides) under uncultured bacterium. RNAcentral describes it as "bacterial SSU rRNA". It matches the Rfam family "Bacterial small subunit ribosomal RNA", at positions 355 to 794 of the family's 1533-position model. The record is from RNAcentral.
UGGGGAAUAUUGCACAAUGGGCGAAAGCCUGACGGAGCAACGCCGCGUGCGGGAUGACGCUUUCGGCGUGUAAACGCUGUUCGUGGGGACGCGGUACCCACGGAGGAAGGCCCGGCUAACUACGUGCCAGCAGCCGCGGUAAUACGUAGGGGUCGAGCGUUGUCCGGAGUUACUGGGCGUAAAGCGUGCGCAGGCGGCUCAUUGCGCCCGGCGUGAAACCCCCCGGCUCAACCGGGGAGGGUCGUCGGGGACGGGUGAGCUUGAGGGUAUCAGGGGUUGGUGGAAUUCCCGGUGUAGUGGUGAAAUGCGUAGAGAUCGGGAGGAACCCCGUGGCGAAGGCGGCCAACUGGGAUACACCUGACGCUGAGGCACGAAGGCGGGGGGAGCGAACGGGAUUAGAUACCCGAGUAGU